Molecule: long non-coding RNA, 849 nt
Filed under: Nicotiana benthamiana
Lineage: Eukaryota; Viridiplantae; Streptophyta; Magnoliopsida; Solanales; Solanaceae
Description: long non-coding RNA (NBEN_LNC037430)
Source: RNAcentral
UUAGAGAUUGAGAGCUUAAGACUGAAUUUUUGAAACAGAAAUUGAGAAUUGAGAGUAAAAAUAUAGACUGAAUUUUGAGAGGGAGAUAUUUAAAAAUUAGGAGUAAAAAAAAAUCAGUUCGAAAGAAGACCUUAAGAGUAAGAGUUUUAGACAGCCAGCUAGUUCAAUUAAACUUGUUCCAUUGAAAAAUACCAAAAGUGCUAUUGCAUUGUUUCUCUGGUUCACAAUUUGAUCAAGUUUUCUUCUUUUUUGAUUACUGGAUUGCUGGAAGGUCACUAUUUGGUUCUCGUUUGAUUUUGGGUGUUCAAAUUAGCUCCUUAGGUUGCUUGUUUUGCUGUGUUUCUAUUGAGGUUGCCUGGGUUUGUUGGAAGCUAUUUUUGAGGUCCAAAUUACUUUGAUUACUGGAUUGCUGGAAGUUCACUAGUUGGUUCUCGUUUGAUUUUGGGUGUUCAAAUUAGCUCCUUAGGUUGCUUGUUUUGCUGUGUUUCUGUUGAGGUUGCCUGGGUUUGUUGGAAGCUAUUUUGAGGUCCAAAUUACUCUUGUUUUGGUUGAUUGUGGCUGCUGGUUAUCUGUUAUUGUGCUGUUGUUGUUGUGCUUGUGUUACUGCUGCACUACUGAUCUUCCUCUCCUUCUUUGGCAUUUCCAAAUACCAGGUACACGACUCUUAUACUGGUACAAUGUAGCUGGAACUGUUCGAAGCAUAAAAAAAAUAGCCUUAAGGCUCGAAGUUAUUAAUUUUUUUUUUUAGAUUCUGUAUAUGUAUAUGAUAGAUUUAGCUCAUUAGAAUGGCAUGGUUAAUUGCCAAUGUAUCAAUAGGCUCAAUCUGUAAUAAUUCAAGUUCAAUCCCAU